Vicia villosa (hairy vetch) is the source of this 1001-nucleotide long non-coding RNA. RefSeq lists it as uncharacterized. The record is from RefSeq and is a predicted model, not a curated record. Lineage: Eukaryota; Viridiplantae; Streptophyta; Magnoliopsida; Fabales; Fabaceae. The transcript is spliced from 6 exons.
CUCUCUCUCUCUCUCUCUCUCUCUCUCUCUCUCUCUCUCUCUCUCUCUCUCUCUCUCUCUUCCGUUUUGCCUCAAACCCUAACACUACUCCUCCAUUUUUUCAAUCUCUCGAUCUGUUUUCUGCCGUCUCCCUUUACCCUCCAACCUUAACAUUCCACAACCACCUUGCUCCAUCAUCUUCUUCCAAGAAACAUUCCAUACAAACCCUACGUUUUCUCUCUCUCUCUUGCAGAAACCUUUCCUUUCUCUUAGAAGAAGAUGAAGAAUCAUGUGAAGAUGUUGUCGAUAAAGGUUGUUUUAAAGAAGAAGCACAUGAAGUUCAAACUUCAUGACCUUCAGAUUCUGAAUCUGAAUCUAAUUCUUCAACUCUUUCGAUGUACUUGAAGAAAAAAUGCUUAAAGGAUGGAAAUUGCAGGUUCAAAAAGUGAUGGGAUUAGAGGAAGAGUUUGGGCUCAAAUAUUGAGGAUGAUAACUCUGAAAAACAUCACAACCAUUCAAGAAGUAGCUGAAUUGAUAGAGAAGUUGAUUUGAUGUAGAGGGAAUUCCCAUGGCUUCUCUUUGCGAUUUCAGCAAGGGAUGAUUUGUUGGAGUUCUCAGCGUUUUAGAUUUUAUGUUCAUUUUAAGAGAGUUUGUGUGGAACAACUGUAACAUCAUAAACACCGUCACGGGUUGAUGAAGAAGCACAUUAAUUUUGUUAUCUGCGAUGCAUACACACAAGUGUUUGGAGAACUUCACAUUUGAAAUAAACUCACAUUGUAUACAAUGCAUACUUGAAGCAAGGGAUAUGGAAAAUGCUCACCAAGUGGGAUGGAGAACAUGACAUUUAAGAUUACAUGAAAAAGCUCAUUUUAGUGUUGACAAAUUAUUAACUAUUGAUGUUCAAUGUUUUUUUGGAAAUUCAGUUCAUUAGCUGCAGUUCCAUAUAUGCACUGCUUCUUUUACGCAAUGUGUAGUAGUCCUAUUUAGAAAUAUUUAUAAACAUCGUGAAAUCACAACUUUAA